RNAcentral lists this ribosomal RNA (253 nucleotides) under uncultured bacterium. RNAcentral describes it as "partial 16S ribosomal RNA". It matches the Rfam family "Bacterial small subunit ribosomal RNA", at positions 524 to 776 of the family's 1533-position model. The record is from RNAcentral.
UACGUAGGGACCAAGCGUUGUUCGGAUUUACUGGGCGUAAAGGGCGCGUAGGCGGCGUUGUAAGUCAGUUGUGAAAUCUCUGAGCUUAACUCAGAACGGCCAAGUGAUACUGCUGUGCUCGAGUGUGGAAGGGGCAAUCGGAAUUCUUGGUGUAGCGGUGAAAUGCGUAGAUAUCAAGAGGAACACCUGAGGUGAAGACGGGUUGCUGGGCCAACACUGACGCUGAGGCGCGAAAGCCAGGGGAGCAAACGGG